GUGCCAGCCGCCGCGGUAAUACGGAGGGUGCAAGCGUUACUCGGAAUCACUGGGCGUAAAGCGCGCGCAGGCGGCCUUUUAAGUUGGAUGUGAAAGCCUAUGGCUCAACCAUAGAACUGCAUCCAAAACUAUUAGGCUAGAGUGUGGGAGAGGAAGAUGGAAUUAGUUGUGUAGGGGUAAAAUCCGUAGAGAUAACUAGGAAUACCAAAAGCGAAGGCAAUCUUCUGGAACAUUACUGACGCUGAGGCGCGAAAGCGUGGGGAGCAAACAGGAUUAGAUACCCUGGUAGUCCACGCCCUAAACGAUGAAUGUUAGUCGUCGGGUAGCUAGUCUAUUCGGUGAUGCAGCUAACGCAUUAAACAUUCCGCCUGGGGAGUACGGUCGCAAGAUUGAAACUCAGAGGAAUGGACGGGGACCCGCACAAGUGGUGGAGCAUGUGGUUUAAUUCGAAGAUACGCGAAGAACCUUACCUAGCCUUGACAUAUAUUAGAACUCAGCAGAGAUGCAGAGGUGCCUUCGGGAGCUUUUAUACAGGUGCUGCACGGCUGUCGUCAGCUCGUGUCGUGAGAUGUUGGGUUAAGUCCCGCAACGAGCGCAACCCUCGUCACUAGUUACUAACGGUUCGGCCGAGGACUCUAGUGAGACUGCCUUCGUAAGGAGGAGGAAGGUGAGGACGACGUCAAGUCAUCAUGGCCCUUACGGCCAGGGCUACACACGUGCUACAAUGGGGCGUACAGAGAGCUGCAAUACCGCGAGGUGGAGCC
Molecule: ribosomal RNA, 764 nt
Filed under: uncultured Sulfurovum sp.
Lineage: Bacteria; Pseudomonadati; Campylobacterota; Epsilonproteobacteria; Campylobacterales; Sulfurovaceae
Description: bacterial SSU rRNA
Rfam family: Bacterial small subunit ribosomal RNA
Source: RNAcentral